CCUACGGGGGGCAGCAGUGGGGAAUAUUGGACAAUGGGGGGAACCCUGAUCCAGCCAUGCCGCGUGUGUGAAGAAGGCCCUCGGGUUGUAAAGCACUUUCAGUGAGGAAGAACGCCUGGUGGUUAAUACCCAUCAGGAAAGACAUCACUCACAGAAGAAGCACCGGCUAACUCCGUGCCAGCAGCCGCGGUAAUACGGAGGGUGCGAGCGUUAAUCGGAAUUACUGGGCGUAAAGCGCGCGUAGGUGGCUUGAUAAGCCGGUUGUGAAAGCCCCGGGCUCAACCUGGGAACGGCAUCCGGAGCUGUCAAGCUAGAGUGCAGGAGAGGAAGGUAGAAUUCCCGGUGUAGCGGUGAAAUGCGUAGAGAUCGGGAGGAAUACCAGUGGCGAAGGCGGCCUUCUGGACUGACACUGACACUGAGGUGCGAAAGCGUGGGUAGCAAACAGGAUUAGAUACCCCAGUAGUC
Molecule: ribosomal RNA, 465 nt
Filed under: Vreelandella stevensii
Lineage: Bacteria; Pseudomonadati; Pseudomonadota; Gammaproteobacteria; Oceanospirillales; Halomonadaceae
Description: partial 16S ribosomal RNA
Rfam family: Bacterial small subunit ribosomal RNA
Source: RNAcentral